CAGUCGUACCUUCGGGUAAUCAGCCUUUCGGGUGCGAUUCUGUGGAGUGUGAGGAGCUUAACACCUUCAUGCUUUGCAUAUUUGUGCUCUUGGGUGUACUUGCUCGUGUGGUUGGUUAACAUCAAUUUUGAUUAUCAUAAAAUGAUUGGAGGAAUGUAGCUUCGAUCUCGUAUUGAAGUGUUAUAGCCUUCGGUAGAUGUGAUGAUCGAGAUUGAGGAUUGCAACGGAUACCCUUCGGGGCUACCUGUCUGGUCUCUGAUCGUUGCUCUGGUGCCGAAAGCGUGCUUACGGUUAUCAAAGUCGAUGGUCAAUAGGUUAGAACGGGUUAAA
Molecule: ribosomal RNA, 330 nt
Filed under: uncultured Glomus
Lineage: Eukaryota; Fungi; Glomeromycota; Glomeromycetes; Glomerales; Glomeraceae
Also listed under: 1 other name
Description: eukaryotic LSU rRNA
Source: RNAcentral